GCCAAAGAUAGCGUGCUGUUGAAGUACUGCUCCUCCACGGUCCAGGCAGUGUCAUUGAUCUUGUUUGACACCCCACAGAAUCCAACGCAGCUCACCUUGAUGGCUCGGUACUGCAGCGAGCCCGAAAGCCGCACGGUGACGGUGCCGGCCAGCGGCUCGCCGGGGCUGUAGAUGACGCGGCUCUCUCCCAGGCGGAUCUCGAACAGCUGCACCUUCCCCAUGGCCGCGCCGGCCCGUUCCUCCCCGCUGCUACCUGCCCUGCCGCUCCGCUCCGCACCGCGCCGUACCGUGCCGCUCCGCGCCGGC
This 306-nucleotide long non-coding RNA is filed under the name Gallus gallus (chicken). Lineage: Eukaryota; Metazoa; Chordata; Aves; Galliformes; Phasianidae. The record is from RNAcentral.